AUGAACAUUGCCCUCUUGACCCGCUGGCUUUGGCGCAUUGCCAAUGGGGAUGGUGGGCUUUGGCUGCAAAUAAUCUGGAAUAAAUACCUCAGUGGCCGGCCCCUUGCAUUCUGUCAACGGUCCGGUGGCUCGCAGUUCUGGAAAUCUGUCAUUCAGCUAUUGCCUGUCCUGCACAUUGGUAUUUCCAUUUCGGAUGGCUCGGGGCGGCCACCCUCUUCUAAUUCGACAGAUGGGCCGGUGAUGCCAUAUUCAUGGCCCGCUUCCCGGAUCUAUUCUCCAUCGUCGUUGACCCCCGGGUCUCUGUCGAGAUGA
RNAcentral lists this ribosomal RNA (312 nucleotides) under Triticum aestivum (bread wheat). RNAcentral describes it as "partial small subunit ribosomal RNA". The record is from RNAcentral. Lineage: Eukaryota; Viridiplantae; Streptophyta; Magnoliopsida; Poales; Poaceae.